RNAcentral lists this ribosomal RNA (501 nucleotides) under uncultured bacterium. RNAcentral describes it as "partial 16S ribosomal RNA". It matches the Rfam family "Bacterial small subunit ribosomal RNA", at positions 30 to 523 of the family's 1533-position model. The record is from RNAcentral.
AUUGAACGCCGGCGGCAGGCUUAACACAUGCAAGUCGAGCGGGGGAAGGUAGCUUGCUACCGGACCUAGCGGCGGACGGGUGAGUAAUGCUUAGGAAUCUGCCUAUUAGUGGGGGACAACAUCUCGAAAGGGAUGCUAAUACCGCAUACGUCCUACGGGAGAAAGCAGGGGAUCUUCGGACCUUGCGCUAAUAGAUGAGCCUAAGUCGGAUUAGCUAGUUGGUGGGGUAAAGGCCUACCAAGGCGACGAUCUGUAGCGGGUCUGAGAGGAUGGGCCGCCACACUGGGACGGAGACACGGCCCAGACUCCUACGGGAGGCAGCAGUGGGGAAUAUUGGAAAAUGGGGGGAACCCUGAUCCAGCCAUGCUGCGUGUGUGAAGAAGGCCUUAUGGUUGUAAAGCACUUUAAGCGAGGAGGAGGCUACUCUAGUUAAUACCUAGGGAUAGUGGACGUUACUCGCAGAAUAAGCACCGGCUAACUCUGUGCCAGCCGCCGCGGUAA